UAAUAGAAGCCAAAAAGAGGCUAUUCACUGUUAAUGAAUAAAUUGAUUUGUAAAUUUCCUAUUAAA
Molecule: transfer RNA, 66 nt
Filed under: Amblyomma tholloni
Lineage: Eukaryota; Metazoa; Arthropoda; Arachnida; Ixodida; Ixodidae
Description: tRNA-Asn
Source: RNAcentral